CCAUCUUGCCGACACCCCCUCCUCUCCUCUCCCCCGGUUCUCCUGCCGCCGCCACCCCUUCCUUCCUUCGUCCCCGCCCUUGCUGCGAGCCCCUCCCUCUCUUCGUGCCGCCGGCCGUCGCAGCAACGCAAAACAAGGCGCCGAGCCGCGAGAGCUCGCCGUGUGCAUGGAGCUCGUCCACCAGCGAGGCCCCCCGUACGCUGAGCUGCGGGAACUCGGCGUGCGCGUGGAGCUCGUCCACCAGCGAGGCCCCCCGCACCAGCAACAACACUGCUGGCUGCCACACACCAUCACCCACGCCUCCUCGUCCCGCUGGCCUCCGCGGCAUUCGGCGACGCAGAGCAGGGCGCGGAGCCGCGGGAGCUUGCCGUCUGCGUGGAACUCGUCCCACCAUCGAGGGCCCCCGCACCAGCGACAACACCGUCAUCCACGCCCUCCUCCCCUGUUCAUUCUCGUCUCCAUCAGGCAGGUGAGCUCCUGCUUCCUCUCUCGGUCUCCCCUCGAUUUAUGCUUGUGUUUUUUUCUUUGUGGGAUAUGGCUACUACUUGUGCUACUGGUUAUACAUGAAUUUAGUGCUGCUGGUUUUGUUGUUGCAAUGUUUGGCUGCUGCUUGCCCUGCUGCCAUGUGCUACUACCUGAUGUUGGUUGCUUCCUUAUUUGGUUAUUUGUGAACUAAAAACUCUUCCCAAGAUGCAACUAUUGAAAAGAAGGCUAUGAGCCAAGGAGAAGUGAUGAUAAAUAUGGUGUAAGUGCCUGUUAUUCAUCACACUUGAGGGAAAGGACACCAAGAGCAAGAGAGAAAGACCAAUACAUGACUAACUUGCCUUGUUAAGCUCCAUGGAUGGUGGGAGGAUCAUUCAGCUGACCAAGUGCAGUAUGAUGAUCCCUCGUUUCUUAUCAUCGGCAGGACUGUGGUGACAGGGAGCAUCAGCAACUGCAAUUUAUACAAGAAGGUUGUUCCUUGCAAGGGCACGACAUCGUCAAUUCUAGUGGUGGUUAGAUGAUUCACUAUCACAAGGUUUGUCUUCUUAACAAGGUAUACAUUUCCCCCGACUUUUACUCCAAUCUAUUUCAGCUAGGCGAAUCAUGAUAACCCUCUUCUUAAAGCAAAAAAAUAAUUUUAACUUGAGAUUGUUCCAUAUGCCAUGGUUAAAAUAAAUAUACUCUAAUGUGAUAAAAGAAUUGGUUUGUAAUAUUGUAUUGUUUUUAAGAAGACCAUAUGUAUACUACCAGAUUAUAUUGACGAGAGGUACAGAGAACAUACAUAUGUACAACCUUAAAAAUUCCUUUGUGUGUGCUAUGCUAUGCCUGAGGCUUACAACUAUCCAUUCGGAAUUCCUAGAGUGCACAAUAAAUGCUUAUUCAGCACUAAUGGCAGAUUCUGUACAUGUUUAGCAGUUCAACGCUUUCAGGAUUAGAAGCUUUUUCCAUAACUUAUUUGAAAUUUGUAGCUCAAUAGGUUACUCCUGUAUGUAGGUGUAUUUAAGUCUUUUGUAGAAUGAGAUUAUUGAUAUAUGUCCUAAAAAAUAUUUUACUUUACUUGGAACCAAAUUGUUCAUUGCCAAUUGUAUAUGGGCACUAUUUUAUACAAGAUGCAGCUUAGUGUGCACUGAAACAUUACCUACAGAGUUUGGCACAAUUGGUAAAAGAUUACUGCUGAUGAACCGCAAACUGUUUAAAAGAACAUGUGAUGCAUGUAAGCAUGCUCUUGCAAGUUCUUCUUUGUUAGGCUCUUUUCGGGUAUGAAAGCUUCACUCAGUAAUUAUCAACUUGUAUGCCAUUCUUUUCUAUCAGCUCUAUUUCAUGCUGGAGAGGCUUUGUAAAGCAAUUGCAUACUGUCUUGUGUAAAUAAUAUUAAUUAUGUAUUUCUUUAGGGUGAUAAACUUAAUUUAUGAUAAGAGCUUCAAAAGUUUGGCAAAAAUCCUCGACCCAAAGUGAAAUUAGAUUUGUACAUUGGCUUGGAUAUGAGUUGAAGCUUGCAACAUCUAUAGUUAAUUUUUACAGCUUCUACAUCUACAAUUAAUUUUCGAGCUUAUGCAGCUAUGAUCGGUAUUUCCGCUGAAACUUUUACAGUCUGAAGGAGGAAUCCUCUUGUGGGGCUUUAGCAGAAGUUGCUUUUUCUCGGUACUCAACAUACUUCGUAUGAUUCCUUUUAUUAUUAAUAACAAUAAUAACUACUAUUUCGCAUGCUAAAGUCUCAUGUUUUCACCAUCACCCUUUGAUUGUUUGGAUAUUUAAAUUGCAGCACUUGUUACCUCUUUAUAAUUGAAAAGGGGUUCCUAAAUGUAGCGUGUACCUAUAAAAAUUUGGACAAUAUGAACAUGUGAGGAUUCUAUUUUGUGUGCGGCUAGCCUUCUAUAGAAGAUUUAGGGAGGCUGUAUGUCUUAGGUAUUUAUGGCAAAUGUUCGUUACACUUAAUUCGUUCGAGUAGGCAUUAGCCUUUUCUCUCUUUAACACAGUACAUUAGUUAGGAAAUUUUCAAUUGUUGCCUGCUGUCCAUGCACAAAUUAGGUACUCUUAUACAGUAUUACUUCUGAGCGUCUACAUAAGUGCACUACAGAUUUACUUGAUUUAUUAGAUCGUACACACCACUACAAAGUAUACUGCAGAAUAUUUGUUCUCCACUAACAGCAACACCUUCCUUUAAAAGGGGAAUUGUUUCAUUAUUGGAGGCUUUCAUUUAAAUAUUAUUGGCAGCUCAUUGGAGGUUCGGAGAGAUGAGAACAACUGAUGCCUCCUGCAUAAAUAUUACUUGCAUUUUCAGUUUCAGCCUGUCUACGGAUAUGAUGUAGAGCUGAUGCUUCGUGAAUUCAUCUCCCUGCUGCUGCUGCUGGUGCCCCAAGUGGUGGUCCAGUCUAGAGGACAUGUAUUUCUCCUCUAUUUUGAAAUUUUAGAACUGAAUCAAUUUUUCAGCAGUAGACAAGCUGAGUUUAUAGUAUAUAAAUUAUGAGAGGAUUAUGCCUUCUGUUUUCAAUAUGAAUUUCCUUCGCGAAAUUGCCCCAGACCUAAAUUACAAGAGGAUUAUGGAGGCGAUGAAGAUGUAAAUUAUGAGAAGUUGAGUUUAUAGUGUGUAAAUUAGGAGAGGAUUAUGCCUUCUCCUUUCAAUAGGAAUUUACUUGCAUGCUAUUGCCCCAGAGCAUUACCGUGAUACAAACAUUUGUAUUCCCUAGAUGAGGAUGACACCAGAGCA
Long non-coding RNA from Triticum aestivum (bread wheat), 3190 nucleotides. RefSeq lists it as uncharacterized. The transcript has 4 exons. NCBI's taxonomy places the organism in Eukaryota, Viridiplantae, Streptophyta, Magnoliopsida, Poales, Poaceae. The record is from RefSeq and is a predicted model, not a curated record.